ACAUGGACUAUACCAUGAAUUUCCAACCAUAUUCCUAGGAAUCCACUAUCUCCUCUACGCAUUAAACAAAGACCUGUACCAACUUGUUUUCUGUCUCCACAUUCAUUUGUCAAUUCAUAUACUUCAAGUCUACGCCCUUGACUCCCCACCCUGCUUCACCCCUUCCUCUCGGGCAAUUCCAAUUACUAAAGAGAAAAGAUGAUCCCAGAGCAGUUCCAGAAGAGGCUUAAUGCCUUUUACAUAAAUUGGAUCCAACACAAGAAACAACUAUGGGGAAAUUCUGAUGUUGUGGUUAUUCACACCCCACCAAAAUUGGCCAAGUUCUGCAAUCCAAAAUCAUCCUCCUUCUUUUUAUGGCUCUUAGGUGAUGACUUUACCGAUACAACUGUAAUCUUCACUCCUUAUGGAAUUUACUUCCUCUGUACCCAUAAAAGCUUUUCCAAGCUCCGUGAAUUUUGCUCUUGUGUCACGUUGACACAGAAAAUCCCAACAUCAGUUCAACUGAAAGACAAGACCGAUGAUGGAUUCUUGAUCAUUGAUGCUACGAUACGUGACGCUAGAAAUAUUCGUAACGAGAAGGCCUUUCUCGAUGUUGAUAAGGAGUGUCCGUUUGUGGUUGGUUACGUAGAAGGCGAGUACCCAAAAUCGAAGCUUUUCUUGAAUUGUAUUAAUAAGUUAGAACCAACUAAGUAUCAGGGCGCCACUGUCAAUUUUGGUCUUGAUGUGAUGUUUAACGUGGCUGAUGAACAAAGUGUUGGACCCUCCGCGCGUUUGGAUGAGAAAUUGGUCUCAAUAUCAAAGGAAAACGAAGCUAACCAGUCACGUAAAUCUGAAGAAAAGAAUAUAUUGCAGGAGUCUUGUUCACUUAUGGACUAUGAUUUGGAGCAUAAAUUGCAAUUAGAUGAUCCAGUCAAUUAUUUGUCAAGCAAACUAGAAGAAAACAAGAUAUUACUUGAGAAGGAGAAAGUUUAUAUUGCGACGUCGACUUCACUGAUGGAUGGUACAAUAUCAGGAGAUGAUUUCACUGGCAGCUUGAGGAAGGAUUCUGUAGUUAUGGAUCAUGACGAUGAUGAAGAUUGGAUGCUAAUUGAAGGAAAGGAAGAAGGACAAGAAACAAACGUGGCUAAUAAACUCAGCUGGAAAAGGUGGAUCACGGAUAAAAUAUCAAAAUCAUUUGGUCUUAGGGAUAAAACGAAGAUUAAGGCUUCUUCACACUAAUGUGCCUGUGCCUGAGGUCUCUUCUCAUUAGUUGCUAGCAUCACUUUGUGCGUCCCAGUGCUCCUGCUCUAGUUUCGUUGUUGUUGUUGUACAGUUUGUGAUAUUGAAGUAAAAAUAAACAGGACGGCAAGAGUCCCACAUUGAAGUGUGAUUAGCAAAGUCAUCUUAUCUUUUACCGUUAAGACAACUGGUAACAGGCUUGUUAUAUAUGAUGUGGCUUCUCCGGUUCUCAUAUACUUUGAUGACCUUCCAUUUUGUCAUAUACUUCCUAACUGGUAAUCAGGAAGCAACUCCCUCGAUGAAAUUAGUUUUGCAUUUGAAAGAAGCUGUGAGUGAUUAUGUUAAUUUUGUAUCGGACGAAUACUUUGGUGCGAAAAUGUUUACACA
RNA transcript from Nicotiana tabacum (common tobacco), 1605 nucleotides. It is a transcript of the gene named FACT complex subunit SPT16, with no coding region annotated. The record is from RefSeq and is a predicted model, not a curated record. NCBI's taxonomy places the organism in Eukaryota, Viridiplantae, Streptophyta, Magnoliopsida, Solanales, Solanaceae.